RNAcentral lists this ribosomal RNA (313 nucleotides) under uncultured marine eukaryote. Its description in RNAcentral is "SSU rRNA". It matches the Rfam family "Eukaryotic small subunit ribosomal RNA", at positions 619 to 938 of the family's 1831-position model. The record is from RNAcentral.
UUAAAAAGCUCGUAGUUGGAUUUCGGAGUGGGCCAGUUGGUCCGCCGCAAGGUGUGUUACUGACUGGUUUGCUCUUCUUCGCAAAGACUGCGUGUGCUCUUUAGUGAGUGUGCGUAGGAUUUACGACGUUUACUUUGAAAAAAUUAGAGUGUUCAAAGCAGGCUAUUGCUUGAAUACAUGAGCAUGGAAUAAUGGAAUAGGACUUUGGUCCCAUUUUGUUGGUUUCUAGGACCGAAGUAAUGAUUAAGAGGGACAAUUGGGGGCAUCCGUAUUUCGUUGUCAGAGGUGAAAUUCUUGGAUUUACGAAAGACGA